AGGGGCUAGGGGCACAAGACUGGACCUGGGGCGGAGGGGCACAAGACUGGACCUGGGGCGGAGGGGCACAAGACUGGACCUGGGGCGGAGGGGCACAAGACUGGACCUGGGGCGGAGGGGCACAAGACUGGACCUGGGGCAGAGGGGCUAGGGGUACAAGACUGGACCUGGGGCGGAGGGGCUAGGCGUACAGGACUGGACCUGGGGCGGAGGGGCUAGGGGUACAGGACUGGACCUGGGGCGGAGGGGCACAGGACUGGACCUGGGGCGGAGGGGCACAGGACUGGACCUGGGGUGGAGGGGCUAGGGGACUGGACCUAGGGGUUAGUUGAUAGGCAGAAGGGUGGAGUGGGGUCAGCCUGUAUCCCCCUCCAGGGACCAGGGGUUAGUUGAUAGGCAGAAGGGUGGAGUGGGGUCAGCCUGUAUCGCCCUCCAGGGACCAGGGGUUAGUUAUCUAAGCUUUCUUCUCCUCCAGUAUGUUGUGCAGUUCGUCAGCAUCCUCUGCUGUUUUGACCCUGAUGAGCAUGGCGACAGGGUUGGUAGGGUUGUUGUGGUCCACCACAGGGUUAGGAACACAAAUCACCAUCACGUUGUUCUUCCCCAUUCUGGAACAGGGUAUGGAAGGCUGGACCAUGAUGUUCAACAGGAUGUUACCUGGAGGAGAGAGAGAGAGAGAGGGGGUUGUUAUUGAUGAGGUCUGGAGCGGGAUGUUACAGACAGACAGGUUAUUGAUGAGGUCUGGAGCGGGAUGUUACAGACAGACAGGUUAUUGAUGAGGUCUGGACCGGGAUGUUACAGACAGACAGGUUAUUGAUGAGGUCUGGACCGGGAUGUUACA
This 838-nucleotide long non-coding RNA is filed under the name Salmo salar (Atlantic salmon). Its description in RNAcentral is "lncRNA (ENSSSAG00000086128.1)". Lineage: Eukaryota; Metazoa; Chordata; Actinopteri; Salmoniformes; Salmonidae. The record is from RNAcentral.